RNAcentral lists this ribosomal RNA (460 nucleotides) under uncultured bacterium. RNAcentral's name for it is "partial 16S ribosomal RNA". It matches the Rfam family "Bacterial small subunit ribosomal RNA", at positions 338 to 795 of the family's 1533-position model. The record is from RNAcentral.
CCUACGGGGGGCUGCAGUGAGGAAUAUUGGUCAAUGGUCGCGAGACUGAACCAGCCAAGUAGCGUGAGGGAGGAAUGCCCUACGUAUUGUAAACUUCUUUUAUCAAGGAAUAAAGUGAGGCACGUGUGCCUGGUUGUGUGUACUUGAUGAAUAAGCAUCGGCUAACUCCGUGCCAGCAGCCGCGGUAAUACGGAGGAUCCGAGCGUUAUCCGGAUUUAUUGGGUUUAAAGGGAGCGUAGGUGGGUUGGUAAGUCAGUUGUGAAAGUUUGCGGCUCAACCGUAAAAUGGUAAUUGAUACUGGCAGUCUUGAGUACAUUUGAGGUAGGCGGAAUGCGGGGGGUAGCGGUGAAAUGCUUAGAGAUCACGAAGAACUCAGAUUGAGAAGGCAGCUUACUAAACUGCCACUGACAUUGAUGCUCGAAAGUGUGGGUAUCAAACAGGAUGAGAGACCCUUGUAGUC